CUUUUCCCGAUGUUUCCCUGGCGUUUCCACAGCAGCGCUGCUCUUCCCCUUCCCGAAAUGCCAGGCUCGUUAUCCAAUAUAAAGGGAGAUUUCCCAGGAUCAUCUCCUGUCAGGAAUGGAUUCCUGGUGGAGAUGAGGGGAGGGAGAGGUUGGAUCUCCCUCUGGAUAUGGGAGAGGUUGGAUCUCCGUCAGGAUGUGGGAUGCAGGAGAAUCCAGCCCCUGAACCACGGGAAGCUGAGGUAUCCCCGGAGCGUUUGGAGCAGGAAGAUCCGGGAUUCUGGGAUAACUCCACCCUGUGUCCCCAUGGAGCAAGGAAAAAUCCCCCUGGAUGCAUCCCGAACAUCUGCUUUGUCAGGAGUCAUCCUGGUCCCACAGAAAAAAAUGGGAUCACACCCACAAAACCCCUGGAAUUUUCCCCUGGAUACGGCUGGAGCCGGGAUCCACCCACCUUGGUGCCCACCACGGGAGGAUCCCAAGGAAAACCCUCUGGAGUCACCGGGAAUGCAGGGAGGGAGAGCUGGAAUUCAAAGCUAGAUCAGGAGCUGCUUCCCAGCAGAAUUCCAGCCCCUCACUUCCAUCCAGCCAUCCCAGCAUUCCAAGGACAUCCGGGAAAAGCUCCGCGCUUCCUGCCGGAGACCUUUCCGUGCCUCCGACACCGGCUGCUCCCGCCUUUUCCAGGAAACAUUUCCGGGAUGAGCGGAGCCCUGCCCCGCUCCCGGGAUUCCCCGGCGGCCAUGUGCAAUUCCAAGGCUUUAUGGCUCCCCCAUGGAGCCUUCCCGGCGCCCUUGGAGCACGAUUAUCCCGGGAAACGGCGCCUUUAUGGACUCCAGCUGGGAAGUGGGACCUUAAUGAGCCCUCCUUGGCACAGCUCCAUAUGUUUUCCGCCUUCUCCCGAGAUCCCGGUUUUUUAUGGUGACAUUUAUUUCAUGGAAAUGAGCCUGGGAAUGAAGAUCCAUGGCCCUUCCUGGAGAUUAGCGGGAAUGGCUUCCCACUGCCAGGGGUAAAGCUGGAAGGGAGAGGGGAAGCACGGCUGAAUAUUCCCUCCUCCCGCCUGGACGGGAAUCCAAUAAAAUCUGGGAUUUUUC
RNAcentral lists this long non-coding RNA (1085 nucleotides) under Cyanistes caeruleus (blue tit). Its description in RNAcentral is "lncRNA (ENSCCEG00000009856.1)". Lineage: Eukaryota; Metazoa; Chordata; Aves; Passeriformes; Paridae. The record is from RNAcentral.